RNAcentral lists this ribosomal RNA (377 nucleotides) under uncultured eukaryote. RNAcentral describes it as "partial 18S ribosomal RNA". It matches the Rfam family "Eukaryotic small subunit ribosomal RNA", at positions 592 to 976 of the family's 1831-position model. The record is from RNAcentral.
CAAUAGCGUAUAUUAAAGUUGUUGCAGUUAAAAAGCUCGUAGUUGGAUUUCGGGGCAGCCUGGCUGGUCCGCCGCAAGGCGAGUACUGGUCAGCCGCCCUUCCUCUCGAAAGCCCCGACUGCUCUUCGUUGCAGUGGUCGGGUAGUUCGGGACGUUUACUUUGAAAAAAUUAGAGUGUUCAAGGCAGGCCUACGCCUGAAUACAUUAGCAUGGAAUAAUGGAAGAGGACCUCGGUCCUAUUUUGUUGGUUUCCAGGGCCGAAGUAAUGAUUAAGAGGGACAGUUGGGGGCAUUCGUAUUUAAUUGUCAGAGGUGAAAUUCUCGGAUUUAUGAAAGACGAACAACUGCGAAAGCAUUUGCCAAGGAUGUUUUCAUUGA